AUACUUACCUGGGCGGGGCCUAUCGCUGGUCAGGAAGGGCGAUGACCUAGGACCGGCUCCCCCAUUGCACAUCGGUCGGGCUAGUCCUAGCAUUUCCCUAAGGGGAAAAUGCACGUCUAUUUGUGGCAGAGGAGGGCUCGCGUUCGCGCGGCCCUCCA
RNAcentral lists this small nuclear RNA (158 nucleotides) under Marchantia polymorpha subsp. ruderalis. RNAcentral describes it as "U1 spliceosomal RNA". It matches the Rfam family "U1 spliceosomal RNA". From Rfam's summary of the family: U1 is a small nuclear RNA (snRNA) component of the spliceosome (involved in pre-mRNA splicing). Its 5' end forms complementary base pairs with the 5' splice junction, thus defining the 5' donor site of an intron. There are significant differences in sequence and secondary structure between metazoan and yeast U1 snRNAs, the latter being much longer (568 nucleotides as compared to 164 nucleotides in human). The record is from Rfam by way of RNAcentral. Lineage: Eukaryota; Viridiplantae; Streptophyta; Marchantiopsida; Marchantiales; Marchantiaceae.